CCCUUAGACGUUCUGGGCCGCACGCGCGCUACACUGAACAGUUCAACAAGUCUUAACCUUGGCCGAUAGGUCUGGGUAAUCUUUGAACGCUGUUCGUGACUGGGAUAGACCUUUGCAAUUAUGGGUCUUCAACGAGGAAUUCCUAGUAAACGCAAGUCAUCAGCUUGCAUUGAUUACGUCCCUGCCCUUUGUACACACCGCCCGUCGCACCUACCGAUUGAAUGGUCCGGUGAAAUCUCGGGACGGCGGCUUGGUCGCUUGCGUCCGACUGCUGAAACUUGAUUAAACCAUAUCAUUUAGAGGAAGGUGAAGUCGUAACA
This 320-nucleotide ribosomal RNA is filed under the name uncultured eukaryote. RNAcentral describes it as "partial 18S ribosomal RNA". It matches the Rfam family "Eukaryotic small subunit ribosomal RNA", at positions 1470 to 1796 of the family's 1831-position model. The record is from RNAcentral.